GGCUCCAAGCCUUAGGCUUAGCAUCCAUCCUUGAAGAUUUGAGUUGCGUGCAUCAUGUCUGAUGUAACAGAAAGACAAGUAAUGGACGGAGUCACCAGACUUCUGCAACUUUCUUAAGCUUGCACGCAGCCGAAAUUUCAAGGAUUCUCCAAUGAUCAGUUGCUCUCUCUUUGUGUUUUUGUUUUGUACGGCCACCUAAGAACAGCUUCCCUGUAGCCUUUGCUCUGUUCCACGAUUAAUA
RNAcentral lists this unclassified non-coding RNA (241 nucleotides) under Hevea brasiliensis (rubber tree). Lineage: Eukaryota; Viridiplantae; Streptophyta; Magnoliopsida; Malpighiales; Euphorbiaceae. The record is from RNAcentral.